UAUGAGAGUUUGAUCCUGGCUCAGGACGAACGCUGGCGGCGUGCCUAAUACAUGCAAGUCGAACGCUUCUUUUCCCACCGGAGCUUGCUCCACCGGGAAAAGAGGAGUGGCGAACGGGUGAGUAACACGUGGGUAACCUGCCCAUCAGAAGGGGAUAACACUUGGAAACAGGUGCUAAUACCGUAUAACAAUCGAAACCGCAUGGUUUCGUUUUGAAAGGCGCUUUACGGUGCCGCUGAUGGAUGGACCCGCGGUGCAUUAGCUAGUUGGUGAGGUAACGGCUCACCAAGGCCACGAUGCAUAGCCGACCUGAGAGGGUGAUCGGCCACAUUGGGACUGAGACACGGCCCAAACUCCUACGGGAGGCAGCAGUAGGGAAUCUUCGGCAAUGGACGAAAGUCUGACCGAGCAACGCCGCGUGAGUGAAGAAGGUUUUCGGAUCGUAAAACUCUGUUGUUAGAGAAGAACAAGGGUGAGAGUAACUGUUCACCCCUUGACGGUAUCUAACCAGAAAGCCACGGCUAACUACGUGCCAGCAGCCGCGGUAAUACGUAGGUGGCAAGCGUUGUCCGGAUUUAUUGGGCGUAAAGCGAGCGCAGGCGGUUUCUUAAGUCUGAUGUGAAAGCCCCCGGCUCAACCGGGGAGGGUCAUUGGAAACUGGGAGACUUGAGUGCAGAAGAGGAGAGUGGAAUUCCAUGUGUAGCGGUGAAAUGCGUAGAUAUAUGGAGGAACACCAGUGGCGAAGGCGGCUCUCUGGUCUGUAACUGACGCUGAGGCUCGAAAGCGUGGGGAGCAAACAGGAUUAGAUACCCUGGUAGUCCACGCCGUAAACGAUGAGUGCUAAGUGUUGGAGGGUUUCCGCCCUUCAGUGCUGCAGCUAACGCAUUAAGCACUCCGCCUGGGGAGUACGACCGCAAGGUUGAAACUCAAAGGAAUUGACGGGGGCCCGCACAAGCGGUGGAGCAUGUGGUUUAAUUCGAAGCAACGCGAAGAACCUUACCAGGUCUUGACAUCCUUUGACCACUCUAGAGAUAGAGCUUCCCCUUCGGGGGCAAAGUGACAGGUGGUGCAUGGUUGUCGUCAGCUCGUGUCGUGAGAUGUUGGGUUAAGUCCCGCAACGAGCGCAACCCUUAUUGUUAGUUGCCAUCAUUUAGUUGGGCACUCUAGCAAGACUGCCGGUGACAAACCGGAGGAAGGUGGGGAUGACGUCAAAUCAUCAUGCCCCUUAUGACCUGGGCUACACACGUGCUACAAUGGGAAGUACAACGAGUCGCGAAGUCGCGAGGCUAAGCUAAUCUCUUAAAGCUUCUCUCAGUUCGGAUUGUAGGCUGCAACUCGCCUACAUGAAGCCGGAAUCGCUAGUAAUCGCGGAUCAGCACGCCGCGGUGAAUACGUUCCCGGGCCUUGUACACACCGCCCGUCACACCACGAGAGUUUGUAACACCCGAAGUCGGUGAGGUAACCUUUUUGGAGCCAGCCGCCUAAGGUGGGAUAGAUGAUUGGGGUGAAGUCGUAACAAGGUAGCCGUAUCGGAAGGUGCGGCUGGAUCACCUCCUUU
This 1558-nucleotide ribosomal RNA is filed under the name Enterococcus mundtii. RNAcentral describes it as "bacterial SSU rRNA". It matches the Rfam family "Bacterial small subunit ribosomal RNA". Lineage: Bacteria; Bacillati; Bacillota; Bacilli; Lactobacillales; Enterococcaceae. The record is from RNAcentral.